Molecule: non-coding RNA, 6760 nt
Organism: Xyrichtys novacula (pearly razorfish)
Lineage: Eukaryota; Metazoa; Chordata; Actinopteri; Labriformes; Labridae
Source: the annotation of a GenBank genome assembly
AACUAUAUUUUCUUGGGCCCCAACACCACAGCUCAAGCCAACCUUGUACAAAAACUAAAACUACUUUAUUGUGCAAACAACCCAGUUAAAGCUUUGAUGGCAGUUAACGCCAUCUCUCAUUUCCACACCGCCUCCUGAUGGUAUUCUGGUUAGGUCUGAUCUUUCUUCAUCUCUGUUUGCUGCUAUGCAAACUACUGUGUCUCUGUGUUGACUGGUGUGGCCCUCACUUUCUUCACCUUCAUCUGCUCGCUUCAUUGUCCUCACUAUUCUCAGAGAGACCCUUGUGCUUCUUGCUCUCUUCAGACUGAAUCCUCUACAAGCAUGGAGCAAACAGCUGAAAAUACUUUACAAUUUUUAACACCAACAUAAUCGCAGAUAAUUUCACUUUUUUCACUGCGUUCAUGAGGCAUUUUAAGGCUUUGCAACUCACACGACCCCACUUCAAAAAACCAAACCAUCCAUGUAAACAGACUUUUAUCCAAACUGCACAUAGAAAAGUAGGCUACAUCUGUUUCUCAGACUGUUUCUGUUAGUAAAGUGCUAGUUAACGGGGAAGUUUCCAGAUUGCUGUAAGUCAAGAUUUUGGUUUAAAGUGGAUUGGUUCUGUAGUGUUUACUGUAAUUCUAUCUAGAAUCUAUGAUGAUUUAUGCACUGUUAACUUCAUUCAUGGUGGAAGGUGUUUUUCUUCACACCAAAAAGGUCCCUGACAAUAAGUCCAGUUUCAUGCAGUUAAUAGUUUGAAGUGAAACAGUGGUCCCCUUUGUAAAUCUUCAAGUAACAGAGACACGACUUUGAUAUGACUCAGAGUCUUCUCUGGUGACUGGGACUCAAACAACGGGGACUUGAGGCUCGGCUGACUCAAGGUUUGAUGACUUGUCUGCAAUAAACUUGUAAAAGACAAAUAAACAUGUCCACAAUGUUGUCAGGCUUCGUAGGAAUUUAAGGUCUUUGCUCUAAGCGAAACAUCAUAUGAGAACAAUCUCACACCCUUCUCACUCAGACUUUCUGACUGUCAUGUAUCUUAACUUAUUCAGUGCCAGGUUCAUUUAUGCAAUUUUCACCCCAUGCCACCAUUGACUGCAGUAGAAGUUUUCCAUGUCUUUCAGGGCCCACAGAAUAUCUUGUGCUUGGACUAGAAUUAAGUGCAAUAUCUCAAAAGAAAAGGGUGAUUCUCUUCUUUCACCAGAAAAAAAGUUUGUCUCUAACCCACUUCUGUAUUUAGUUAUUGCCUGCACAAUGCAUUGUGGUCAUAUCAUCUUUUCCCAUCUGGAAAAAGAAACCUGGGAAAAACACAUUUUUAUAAAGGAGAGACUUUGCAGCAGAACUGUAAUCGUCUGUUUCAUUUCACUUCAAGCUACUUUACCGGCGUCAUCAAGGUCCUCCCUCCUUGGAUACCACUCCUCAUCACUCUCGAGAUCUGAUUGUGAUAGGUCACUAUGUUACGGCUCGGAGCCGUAUUGAUUCUUGAGAAUCUAAUACUGCAACGUAAACCACACGGACUGCUCACGUCCUCCUUGCCGGGACUGUUGCUGAAUUCCGGUUCAGUUUCCCUCACCAGUACCUGCAGCAGUGGCAAAAUGACACACCGGAAAAUUGUUUCCUUGAUUGUCUGCUGACAAUGUGAGGGUCUGGUACCGGGAUCUCCACUGGAUUCAGAGAUGGUAGCACCGCGCCCACAGGAGCCGAUGCGCCAAAGCUGUAAGCUCUUGGCUAAUGACUUCGGCAUUUUCCUACUCCCCUAAUAGAGAAGAAACACUCCACAACUAGGCACACUUGAUGGUACACUUCUCAUUGGCGAGUACUUGUUUUUGUUGUUGAAACAUGGUUAUGAUGUAUUUGUCGGCCUUCUGCAUUCGGAACGAUCCCAAACUUAGUCACAUGUUGGGGAGGAUCGUCCUCUGGUGGAAGAAAGAAAAAAGUGAAAAAUCCAUCAAAAUCCAUUAAUGGCACUCAGGGCAAAAAAAAAAAAAAAAGGAAAUCCGUCCAAAUCCAUCAUUGGCACUGAAUGAGUUAAAGGGAUAUUCUGACACGAAUUGAAGUCAUGGUCAACCACACUGUAACACAGAGUUAGAAACCCCUUUAAGAGAUGAAUGUUGGUGACCGCUUGCUUCUCUAGUUAUGUCAACUUUAGUAGCCACGUCAGAUAGCAAUACAGACAGCUAUGCGCUCAACCAAAAAGCCACUUUAUAGCCACAAAUAAUGCUUAGAACAGCACCUAACUUCAUCAACAGUACAUAAAGGGUCCCAGCCAUAGUACUAGACACCAAACAUCUUUUUAGUUUUGCCUGGUUUCUUAAGCAAAGAGACCAAACACAACUUACCCACUCUCCUCCAGCAGCCGCUUGUUUGUGGGGGAGCCCUGAAGAGUCGAUCACCGAGUAUAACUAGAGAAGCAAGCAGUCAACAACAUUCAUCUCUUGAAGGGGUGUCUAACUCAGUGUUACAGUGUGUUUGAGCCAAGCUUAAAUUUACACCAAAAUAUCCCUUUAAUAUAUUACCUUCCUACUAUAUAAAUAAAAUUGGAUUGCUUGAUGAUUGAUUGAUUGACCUUUCACCUCUAAGUGACAAAGUUUUGGUGUUUGAGGUUGUACAUGUUUUCUUGGGCCCAAACUGCCACUAUAGGCUGCUGACAUUAGGGGAAAAGAAUACAUGUUUAAAGCUCAUGAACAUGUUAAAUCAAGAGAACUGUGACUAUAACUGUUCGACAGUUGUGAUUGAAUUUAGAUUUUCACCCCAAAUGUGAAUGUGAUGUCUUGUAGUGAUCCAGGUUUUCUUACAGAUGGACUGAAGCAGAUGGUGGAAGCACUUGAUCAUGUGACUAAGUGGGAAGAAGAGGUGUAGAGAGGCUCCAGAAGGAGGAGACACUGAUGCAUAUGAAAUGUGCCUGUUGUUGUGAAGAAUACUACUGUGCUGACUUACUGGAGUGUCUCUUCUUGUGUGGUGUUUCUGUACAGGCAACAAAUAUAAUGUAGCCUACACGGUGUGUGUGUGUGUGUGUGUGUGUGUGUGUGUGUGUGUGUGUGUGUGUGUGUGUGUGUGUGUGUGUGUGUGUGUGUGUGUGUGUGUGUUUUUUUUUCUGUUUGGUGACUCUGCCAAUAGUCCGGGGGCCAGAUGUAGCCCUCAGAAUGUUUACUGCUACCUUUUUUUCACUAUGAUUUCCAGUUAGCCUAUAUCUUGGGCCAUCCCAAGAUAAUAGGGACCACCCUCAACUCGGGGCCGUUUGGUUUCAGGGGCCCAAAAACCCAAUUAUGGGGCCCCUGAUUACCUAAAUGCAAAUAUCAAGGUGCUGCACCAACACAAACUGACAGAAAAGUCUAAAAUUUGGCAUGGAGUAUCCUGACACAUAAGGGUAAGUAGAUAAACACGAUUCAGGACCUUGCUGCAGUUUAAUUCUGAAAUAUCACACUCAACAUCCCAAUGAACACUCGAAAAUUACUGUCUGCUUGAUAGAUCUUCAUCAAUAUGACUGUUUUUCAGCACUUUAUGAUGACCAUCACUCCUGCACUGGUAUAUAGAAAACUUCCCAUGUUCAUAAGCUUCGAUUUGAGCCCAAGAUGACCUCUCUAUGUUGAAUAUUACUCUUUCUGUGGCCAAAAUCCUGCACUAUACCACAAAUUUGAGAAAAUGGCAUUUUCAGUCACUACCCUUUCAGUGAGCACCCACAUUUCCCUGUGAGUAUUGACUUUCUCCACCCAAGUCCACCUUGCUGCCAAUCGUCUCUUAAUUGUCUAUUUAUUUCACCUGUCCUGUUAAUACUUGUGUUUGAGUCUUGAGUUCUUGUCAGUCUGUGCACCACUGUAUACAAUAUAUCUGCACGUUCCUGCCAUUUUCGUCAAGAAAUUGAAGAAUGAACUGAAUACCACAUCACUACAGAUUCAAGGUAUGCUUUAUGUUAUCCAUGACUAGACCACUUGAACCCUGUAUGGGUAACAGGAGUCCCUCGGGGCUCACUACUAGUGAUUUUCUGUUUUCUGUUAUUGCUGCGAAAGCUUCUGCUGUGAAUAGCUGAUUGAAAAGCUCACAAGAGCUUGUUGGUCUGCUAUUGUCAGUGAAUGCUUUCCCCGCAAUACCAAUGCUGGGGUUUAGUGGUUAAUGUUCAUCAUUAUAUAGUUUGUGUAACUAAGAUUUAAAAGUAUAAGUUUAAACUAUACCUUCACAAUCCAUAAAUUCAUUUCAAAUAUUUCAGAUUUACCAGACUGAACAUACUCAAUUUGUACGACAAGAGCCAACAGUUAAGGUAUUAUUUUAUAAAGGUAAGCUUCAUUAUCACACUUCAUUGUUUUCAUAUGUGACUGGAAGUGAGAAGACAUAUGAACAUUUGCCCUUUUCUCAUGUAGGAUUAUAAUAUAAUGGGUUACAACUGCAACAACAUCAGUCUGUGCAUAUUUGAGGUAAUAUGAAUACAUUCAUGAAAUAUCUAAUACCUUUGAAUUAAUGUUAAUUUGCACCCUUAAUAACACACCCUUUGUUGCAAUGAUUAUACUGAUUUUCAGGUGGUUGCAUUGCAACAUGUAAAGCAGUAAACAUGUCAAAGCAACAACAAAAGGAUGAAGCCUGGUCACCUUGCCAGAGUUCAUCAAAGAUGGAGAAUGUGCUACCACCUCAGUCACGCAUGGAAAAUUGCAAUUUGCAUGGUUGCAAGGGGGAAGUAAAUUAUGGCUUUGUGGCAUUUUCUUCUAAGGCUGAUCCACUGAGGACAUAUAAGGAAAUUCAUGAUAUGAAAUCCAAACUUUUGACACAAACAUCUGACUGCAGCGGUAUGCUAGAUGUUUGCGAUUCCUGAUGAAUCGUCCUUAGAUAGUGGAUAUCACAGAAACUGUCAACGCACAUUUUUCCGUGAUGCAACCCGUGCCUUAGCAAGAACAUGCCAAGCAGUAAAUCACAGACCAAAACGUGAGCAUAUGGAUUCUUCAGUUUUGUUGGGCAAUUACUGCAUAUUCUGCAAAAGUGGCACUGUGAAGCGAGCUUCAGGCAAGAGAUAUAGCUUGCAGAAAUUCCAGUCCACUGCAUAUAAAUCUAUUGAGACAAAAGCUAUGGAACUAGGUGAUGAAGAUCUGUUAUGCAAAAUUGUGGGUGUGGAUCUUGUUGCUAGGCAGGCACAAUUUCAUGACUGCUGUCGCAAGCAGUACUUGGUAAAGUGAGCAUCUCAGUCUGAUAGCACAGAUGCAGCAUCGACAAAGAAAGCAAUGAUAAGUAAAGCUUUCACUCAGUUAUAUGACCACAUACAAACUGAAAUUAUUCAAAAAGUUCAGGUUGUCAAACGUGCUUAUCUUACAGAUUUGUAUAAUGAUACAUUGAGAAAAUUUGAAGGAUCUGCUUCUCCAAUAACAGCUCACAACCUCAGAUAAAAAAUUGAAUGCCAUCCUAAUCUCAAAGAUAGUGUUGACUUCUCAUCUUUCCCAUUCAAAAACACGUUAGUGUUUUGUCGUUCCCAGGAAUCGAUGAAGACAACAGUGCGUUCAGCUUAUGAGAUGGGAAAUACUGAUUGGAGUAAAGAAAUCAGCCAUGACCUUCACCAGAAAAUCAUAAAAUCAUUCAAAAAUUCAGAACCACUGACAUGGCCCCCUACAGCUCAUGAUAUCCCAGAAUCAAAAAAAGAGAUUCCCUCUGAGGUUUUACAAUUUGUAUUAAACCUAAUCUGUGGUGAUAAAAAGCCAUCACAAAAACCAUCACAUACGGAGGAAUGUCUAGCAAUCUCCAUCUCCCAAUACCUCUGCAGAGCAGUGACAUCAGGCCGAUGGAAGAUGAAGAAACACAUCUUGCUAUGUAUGACACUAAGGCAUCUCUUCAGAUCCAAGAGCAUAACCUGAUCAAUAAGCUUGGCCACUGUAAAUCAUACUCAUACUCACUGGAACUUGAAACGGCUCUGGCAAAUUCAAUAGUGGAAAGAGCAUCAAUAAUAAGCCAAUCUGACAUUAUCAGGGGACAACCUGACAUUAUCAGGGGACAACCUGACGGGGCAGUCUUCCAUAGUGACUGGGACAAUUUUGAUCAGCUGGUAUCAAAUAUAUAUGGUGCAGGGUCCAUUCAUACCACUGCAGGAAUCUACAUGCAACCUCAGUACAGCCUAGACAAGAUCCUACCACUCGACCUACAACAAAACAAAGAUCGUUCAAAAGGCCUGCUCAGGAUUUGCCAACUUACUACAAGCGGAAACGGUCAGAACCAGUACUGGCAGCGUCCAAUUCAAAUACUGCAGCCACAUGCAGCAACUCAAAAUCAGAUUCUGAUCUUGUUUGGGUCAUUGCUCGUAAAAUCAACUCCAUGGAUCAGCACAUCCCUGGUUUGUCAGGCUGGUUGUCGGUAACUGGCUGUUCUCCAAAAUGUCUCACCACAAUUGGGUAUUAUCCCAUGAUCAAUGCGCCAAUAACAGAAUUGUCAACCAUUCAAGAGUGCCUUCAAUGCAUCCUCUGAAGCUGGACAAGAGUACACCAUCAGUACAUUUGACCUAGGGGUUUGCAUGAAAGCCUACCCUCUAAUAUGGAAUGAAGCUGAGAGAUACAAAAAACACAUAAUCCUCAUUGGCACAUUCUAUUGCUGUGGAGGAUACUUGAAAGGCAUAGGCAAAAGAUACUGUCAGGGUAGUUGAUGGGUAGAAGUGGCUUUAGAAGCUAAACUAAUCACCACCAGCUCUGUGAAUGGAGUCACUGAUGGGAAGAAUUGGGAUAGAGCUAUGAACACACACAAGUCCAUGCUCGAAGCUCUCGAGAGACUCCUAUAUGAAAAGUAUCUGGAAAAUCAUGAACCACUCUCCUCUGAA